RNAcentral lists this transfer RNA (75 nucleotides) under Gimesia maris. RNAcentral's name for it is "tRNA-Met". It matches the Rfam family "tRNA". From Rfam's summary of the family: Transfer RNA (tRNA) molecules are approximately 80 nucleotides in length. Their secondary structure includes four short double-helical elements and three loops (D, anti-codon, and T loops). The record is from RNAcentral. RNAcentral also lists the same sequence under 6 other names. Lineage: Bacteria; Pseudomonadati; Planctomycetota; Planctomycetia; Planctomycetales; Planctomycetaceae.
GGCGGUGUAGCUCAGUCGGUUAGAGCAGCGGAAUCAUAAUCCGCGUGUCGGGGGUUCGAAUCCCUCCACCGCUAC